UACGUAGGGCGCAAGCGUUAUCCGGAAUUAUUGGGCGUAAAGAGCUCGUAGGCGGUUUGUCGCGUCUGCCGUGAAAGUCCGGGGCUCAACCCCGGAUCUGCGGUGGGUACGGGCAGACUAGAGUGAUGUAGGGGAGACUGGAAUUCCUGGUGUAGCGGUGAAAUGCGCAGAUAUCAGGAGGAACACCGAUGGCGAAGGCAGGUCUCUGGGCAUUAACUGACGCUGAGGAGCGAAAGCCAGGGGAGCAAACGGG
Molecule: ribosomal RNA, 253 nt
Filed under: uncultured bacterium
Lineage: Bacteria
Description: partial 16S ribosomal RNA
Rfam family: Bacterial small subunit ribosomal RNA
Source: RNAcentral